This is a long non-coding RNA of Dama dama (fallow deer), 1558 nucleotides long. RefSeq lists it as uncharacterized. The record is from RefSeq and is a predicted model, not a curated record. Lineage: Eukaryota; Metazoa; Chordata; Mammalia; Artiodactyla; Cervidae. The transcript has 3 exons.
UCUGAGAGAGAUCUUGCUAUACAGGAGAUGGCAAAGGCACCCACUGGCUGGAGGAAUACAAAGACCUAAGUGAGUAGGCUGGGGGAGAUGACAAAGGUCAAUCUGAUCUCAUAGGAGGACUCAGACUUUGGAAAAUGAAGCAAAGUAAGACAGAAAGGGAAGCAGAAGGAUGGCUUGGUUUGCAAUUCUUUGGGCAGGAAGAGUAAGGAAAGCCAAGAAUUAAUGCUUUUGAACUGUGGUACUGGAGAAGACUCUUGAGAGUCCCUUGGACAGCAAGGAGAUCAAACCAGUCCAUUCUAAAGGAAAUCAGUCCUGAAAAUUCAUUGGAAGGACUGAUGCUGAAGCUGAAGCUCCAAUACUUUGGCCACCUGAUGCGAAGAGCUGACUCAUUAGAAAAGACCCUGAUGCUGGACAAGACUGAAGAGAACUUGCAGUCCGAAGUCUACUUCAGAUAAGGCCGCCGAGUGUAAUGGUGUGGACAGAGCUUCUUCAAGAGCAAAUCCAAGAGCCACAGGGAACAAUAGACUAGGGAGACCCUUCCAGAGACAGAGACAACACCCAGUCAAAGAAUUUUCCCCAAACCCAGGGCUACUCAUUGGAAGAGAUCCUGAUGGUGGGAAAGAUUGAGGGCAGGAGGAGAAGGGGGAUGGCAUCACCAACUCAAUGGACAUGAGUUUGAGCAAAGUCUGGGAGAUAGUGAAGGACAGAGAAGUCUGGCGUCUACAGUCCACGGGGGUCACAAAGAGCUGGACGUGCCUGAGUGACUGAAAAACACAAAUUGGUCAUCAGGCAAUUUUGCUAUAAAAGACAAAACAGUGUAAAAUGAAAGAGGGACAUUAAAAAGGACACCCUGAAACAUGAAAACGGAAUAACAAAAUUCAACUAAAAAGACUUGAUUGCAAAAUACAAAACAUUUGAAUAAAUUGAACAUGUGUGUAAGUUUGUGACAAAUCUGCACAAAUAAGUUACUUGGGGAUUGUGCCUAAACCCUUGUCUUUCAUAGUGUCAUGCAUUUUUCUGCUUGUUGAUUCAUAUUCUCAUUAUACUUUUGUUUUCCUUUUUCACUAAAAUUUCUUUUUUCAAGAGAGGUAUCCGUUUCCAAAUGCUGGGAUGUGUAUUUGUAACAGCUCUUUACUGUGCUGGGAAAGCUUCUGCCCUCUUUUUGUCCUUGAUGUGUUGUCUAUAUCUGGGUUGAUAAGAUGUUCCAAAGCUCUAUGGGAAAUGUGGGUUCAACUCUGCGCCUUUAAGGCCCUCAGCCUCUUUUCCCUCCAACGUAGUAUUUUCAAAAUAAGAAACCAGCUGUUGGGGAACUCCUUGGUGGUCCAGUGUCUGGAAGUCUGUGCUUUCACUGCUGAGGGCACACAAGUUCAAUCCCUGGUUGGGGAACUAAGAUCCCACAAGCUUCAAGUGGGGGAGAAGAAAAAAAAAUCCCAGCUUGUGGGGCCAAUCAUUGUCAUCUAGCAGCUCGAUAAAGCCAUCAGUUAACAUCAUUAACUUGAAGAAACACUAACACAUUUCAGUCAGUUGAAAUUGAAGUGUCAACCAGUUACAGUAAGAC